Misgurnus anguillicaudatus (oriental weatherfish) is the source of this 1140-nucleotide non-coding RNA. NCBI's taxonomy places the organism in Eukaryota, Metazoa, Chordata, Actinopteri, Cypriniformes, Cobitidae. The record is from RefSeq and is a predicted model, not a curated record.
UUUAAUAAAUCCAGCUUGCUCACAAAGCGAGCAGAACCUAAAUUAUCUAUACAAUCCUCCAUGCGAGGCAGUGGGUAACAGUCAGGCACUGUAACAGCAUUUACCUUUCGGUAAUCAGUACAGAACCUAAAUGUUCCAUCAGGUUUAGGUACUAACAAGCAUGGGGAACUCCAAGCACUGCAGCUCGGUUUAGCAAGACCAUUUUCUAAUGCAUGAGAUGUGACGGCAAAUCUUUCAAUAUUACAGAGUUUGAUAAACGUGCGCAUUGAUGAGGAGCGUUGCGCAGCACAAUGCCAUCCUCAUCAGCUCCAUCCGCAGCUGCAGAGGAUUCUACAGGGGAGACUACGGCUACUGGAGAAACGACAGGCUUUGUCAUGUUUUCUGUAACCGAGUCCUUUGUAUUUCUUUCAUGAUAUGCCUUUAACAUAUUAACAUGACACAAACGAGAUUGGCGUUUUCGGUCAGGAGUGCAUAUAACAUAAUUAGUGUCACUGAUUUUCUUUAAUACUUCGUAGGGACCAGUAAAGCGUGCUGACAAAGCUGAACCGGGGACAGGUAAUAAAACCAGAACUUUGUCACCAGGUUUAAAUGAGCGAAGCGCAGCUUUCUCAUCAAAGAGACGUUUCAUCCCUUUCUGUGCAGUAGCGAGAGACUUCUUAGCAAGAGAACAGGCAGACUUUUAACGGCCCCCUAACCGUAUGGCCAAAGACGAGCUCCGCUGGGCUGAAACCGAGACUUUCUUGGUUUGGUGAAACCGUUCCAGCGCGCCCUGACUUUCAGGGUGGUACGCACUGGAAACGUUGUGAGAAAUGCCAAGAGAUUUCAACACUUGGGAAAACAACUUUGACAGAAAGUUAGUACCUUGGUCGGUUUGUACAAUUUUCGGUAAGCCAAACGUAGAAAAGAAUUUUAUUAGAGCUUUUAUUACAACAGGCGCGGUAAUUUUGCGCAGGGGAAUUGCCUCGGGGAAACGGGUAGAGACACACAUCAUUGUCAGCAAAAAUUGGUUUCCCGAUUUCGUUUUAGGCAGCGGCCCCACACAAUCGACAAUGACGUGUUCGAAGGGUUCCCCAAUAGCAGGAAUGGGCGAGAGGGGAGCAGGUGGAAUCACCUGAUUUGGCUGCCCCACAUACUGACAGG